UCUUCUGCUUGGUCACUUACUGAUCUCUCUCUGGUUGAUGAUGGUGGAGCUUGAAUGGAGGCUAGUCUUUUGCUACUUAGCCUACCAAAUAUCCAUCUCCUCCUCUUGAUCUCCUUCUGAUACACCCAAUGACUCCAUUGAGUCUUGAAUACUUUAUGAAGCUCUUCACAUAAUGUCAUUUGAACUGAUUUCUUAUCAGUCACAUGAUUUAAUCCCAAGAUUCAAACCAAAUGAGACUGACAAGAAUUUGCAUAUAUGUCAUCCAUUGUUGAUUUGAACUGGCACCCAGAAAAGGGAUUCUUGAAUGGAGAUAAAA
Molecule: non-coding RNA, 316 nt
Organism: Carica papaya (papaya)
Lineage: Eukaryota; Viridiplantae; Streptophyta; Magnoliopsida; Brassicales; Caricaceae
Source: RefSeq, a predicted model, not a curated record